UACGAGAGGCCCAAACGUUAUUCGGAAUUACUGGGCUUAAAGAGUUCGUAGGCGGCAUGACAAGUAGGGGGUGAAAGCCCUCGGCUCAACCGAGGAAUUGCGCUCUAAACUGUCGUGCUAGAGGAACCUAGAGGUGAGCAGAACUGAUGGUGGAGCGGUGAAAUGCGUUGAUAUCAUCAGGAAUACCGGAGGCGAAGGCGGCUCACUGGGGGUUUUCUGACGCUGAGGAACGAAAGCCAGGGGAGCGAACGGG
Molecule: ribosomal RNA, 253 nt
Filed under: uncultured bacterium
Lineage: Bacteria
Description: partial 16S ribosomal RNA
Rfam family: Bacterial small subunit ribosomal RNA
Source: RNAcentral